GACGAACGCUGGCGGCGUGCCUAAUACAUGCAAGUAGAACGCUGAAGAGAGGAGCUUGCUCUUCUUGGAUGAGUUGCGAACGGGUGAGUAACGCGUAGGUAACCUGCCUUGUAGCGGGGGAUAACUAUUGGAAACGAUAGCUAAUACCGCAUAACAAUGGAUGACACAUGUCAUUUAUUUGAAAGGGGCAAUUGCUCCACUACAAGAUGGACCUGCGUUGUAUUAGCUAGUAGGUGAGGUAAUGGCUCACCUAGGCGACGAUACAUAGCCGACCUGAGAGGGUGAUCGGCCACCCUGGGACUGAGACACGGCCCAGACUCCUACGGGAGGAAGCAGUAGGGAAUCUUCGGCAAUGGGGGCAACCCUGACCGAGCAACGCCGCGUGAGUGAAGAAGGUUUUCGGAUCGUAAAGCUCUGUUGUAAGUCAAGAACGGGUGUGAGAGUGGAAAGUUCACACUGUGACGGUAGCUUACCAGAAAGGGACGGCUAACUACGUG
Molecule: ribosomal RNA, 497 nt
Filed under: uncultured bacterium
Lineage: Bacteria
Description: partial 16S ribosomal RNA
Rfam family: Bacterial small subunit ribosomal RNA
Source: RNAcentral